CCUGGGAAAGAGGCUCUUGUCUCAUGUACAUGUCUUUAAAGAAGAAAUUACUUCUUUCACGGUUAUGCAAACUGGUCCCUACAUGUAUGUUGGAGACUCUGAUGGCAACAUCAAGAUUUUAAAGAUUGAACAAGAAGUAUGUAAUGUUGUACAAAUGAAAUACACUUACCUUUCUCAGCCUCUCAUGGAAAUCCAACGGAAGUUUUAGCUGAUAGGGCUGUUAUCUCCAUACUCCCUCAGCCAACAGCUA
Molecule: long non-coding RNA, 250 nt
Organism: Hibiscus syriacus
Lineage: Eukaryota; Viridiplantae; Streptophyta; Magnoliopsida; Malvales; Malvaceae
Exons: 3
Source: RefSeq, a predicted model, not a curated record